This 406-nucleotide ribosomal RNA is filed under the name uncultured bacterium. RNAcentral describes it as "partial 16S ribosomal RNA". It matches the Rfam family "Bacterial small subunit ribosomal RNA", at positions 30 to 526 of the family's 1533-position model. The record is from RNAcentral.
AUUGAACGCUGGCGGCAGGCCUAACACAUGCAAGUCGAACGAGUGGCGGACGGGUGAGUAAUGUCUGGGAAACUGCCCGAUGGCGGGGGCUAACUACUGGAAACGGUAGCUAAUACCGCAUACCAUCGGAUGUUCCCAGAUGGGAUUAGCUAGUAGGUGGGGUAACGGCUCACCUGGGCGACGAUCCCUAGCUUGUCUGAGAGGAUGACCAGCACAACUGGAACGGAGACACGGUCCAGACUCCGACGGGAGGCAGAAGUGGGGAAUAGUGCACAAUGGGCGCAAGCCGGAUGCAGCCAUGCCGCGUGUAUGAAGAAGGCCUUCGGGUUGUAAAGUACUUUCAGCGAGGAGGCGUUACUCGCAGAAGAAGCACCGGCUAACUCCGUGCCAGCCGCCGCGGUAAUUC